GACGUAAGGUGCGAGCGUUGUCCGGAUUUAUUGGGCGUAAAGGGCGCGCAGGCGGCUUGGCAAGUCGAGUGUGAAAGCCCUCAGCUUAACUGAGGGAUGGCGCUCGAAACUACCCGGCUUGAGGGCGGGAGAGGGAAGUGGAACUCUCGGUGUAGGGGUGAAAUCUGUAGAUAUCGAGAGGAACACCGGUGGCGAAGGCGGCUUCCUGGCCCGUACCUGACGCUGAGGCGCGAAAGCGUGGGGAGCAAACAGG
This 253-nucleotide ribosomal RNA is filed under the name uncultured bacterium. RNAcentral's name for it is "partial 16S ribosomal RNA". It matches the Rfam family "Bacterial small subunit ribosomal RNA", at positions 524 to 776 of the family's 1533-position model. The record is from RNAcentral.